GUGGCUGUAGCUCAGUUGGUAGAGCACCUGGUUGUGGUCCAGGUGGUCGCCGGUUCAAGUCCGGUUAGCCACC
RNAcentral lists this transfer RNA (73 nucleotides) under Propionibacteriaceae bacterium. Its description in RNAcentral is "tRNA-His". It matches the Rfam family "tRNA". From Rfam's summary of the family: Transfer RNA (tRNA) molecules are approximately 80 nucleotides in length. Their secondary structure includes four short double-helical elements and three loops (D, anti-codon, and T loops). Further hydrogen bonds mediate the characteristic L-shaped molecular structure. tRNAs have two regions of fundamental functional importance: the anti-codon, which is responsible for specific mRNA codon recognition, and the 3' end, to which the tRNAs corresponding amino acid is attached (by aminoacyl-tRNA synthetases). tRNAs cope with the degeneracy of the genetic code in two manners: having more than one tRNA (with a specific anti-codon) for a particular amino acid; and 'wobble' base-pairing, i.e. permitting non-standard base-pairing at the 3rd anti-codon position. The record is from RNAcentral. Lineage: Bacteria; Bacillati; Actinomycetota; Actinomycetes; Propionibacteriales; Propionibacteriaceae.